RNAcentral lists this long non-coding RNA (1346 nucleotides) under Heterocephalus glaber (naked mole-rat). RNAcentral describes it as "lncRNA (ENSHGLG00100025668.2)". The record is from RNAcentral. Lineage: Eukaryota; Metazoa; Chordata; Mammalia; Rodentia; Bathyergidae.
GGGGCUCCCAACCGUCACCGACGCAGCGGAUCAGAAUUGGGAGCCCCGAAUUUCAAAUUAGCGGGGUUUUUAUUGUGGUUACAGCGAGGUUUGGAGAUUUUCCACUUAGCAGAUUGGUUGGCAUUUAGCAAGCAUGAAGUGUAUAUUUCUGAUUGGCUAGGCCCAUCGGGGGUGUGAGGGGUGGUUACAUGUAGGUUUUAUGGGGUAAAAGAGGGACAAAGGUUAGUGGUCGACUGUCACGUACUAAUGGUCAGCACAUUGACAGAUUGUUCUAUAGAUAGUGGGCCCGGAACGUUCAUUUCCUGGGCAAACAGAUGGUUGAGUAAUUAACUUAGGAACUUUGCUUCUUUACAGAUUGUGUCUUUUGUCCCAGAGCAAGCACAUUUUAACCAUUAAUUUGUGAGGACAAUAGAGACUAGGGGAAUAGUGGAUUUUAGCAAAAUGGAGUCGCUUUGGUCUCACAGUUACAUUGGAUAUGGCUGAGGAUGUAGCAUUAUCACCUCUAGGGAGGACCAAAGGGAAAAAAAAGUCUAUGAUCCCCUCAGGUUCUGUACCUGCUAGAGACACUACAGGCAUAUCAUCUGUCAUCAGUCCCAAGAAGAAGAUGUCACUCAUUCAAGACACUCAGUUCCCAAUUGGCAGAUAGUGAGGAAUCUUUUAAUGUUACCAGAAAACAUCUCCAUGGCUCUACCCUUCUGGCCUGUGUUCCAUAAGAGAUGGCUGUGGUCAGUCAUCAUGCAGUGGAGAAAAAUAUUUGAAGAAAUAGCCAAAGUUUCCCCAAGUCUGGUGACCAACAUAAAUUACAGAUCCAAAUAAAACCCAAUAAAGUCCAAGUAGGAUGAACACAAAGAGAACUACAUCUUGGAACAUCAAAAUCAAACUCUGAAAACUAAAGAUAAGGAGACAACAAUAAAAGUAAGGGGAAGAAAACCCAGAACAAAAAACCAACAGAAAGACACAUUACCUCUUUGGACUGAAUGCUUGCGUCCCCUCCAAAAUUCAUUUGUAGAAAUCUAAUUUGCAAUGGGAUGGUAUUUGUAAGUAGAGCCUUUGGGAAGUGAUUAACCUAUGAAGGUAGAGCCUUGAUGAAUAAGUUUAGUGCUGUUAUUAAAAAACAAACAACAACAACAAACUAGUCAGUUAGCUGGCUUGUGCUCUUUCCAACAUGUAGAGAUACAAUGAGAAGUCAUCUACCCACAACCAGGAAGCAAGUGGAUACCAGAUCUGUAUGAGUCUUAACUUAGGCUCCCCAGCCUCCAAAAUUUUGAAAAUAAAUGUCUGUUGUUAAAGCCACCAGUCUGUAUUUUUUCAGCAGUCCAAACUAAGACAAUUCAUAUGGGAGAAAA